AUUGAACGCUGGCGACAGGCCUAACACAUGCAAGUCGAGCGGAUGAAGGGAGCUUGCUCCUGGAUUCAGCGGCGGACGGGUGAGUAAUGCCUAGGAAUCUGCCUGGUAGUGGGGGAUAACGUCCGGAAACGGGCGCUAAUACCGCAUACGUCCUGAGGGAGAAAGUGGGGGAUCUUCGGACCUCACGCUAUCAGAUGAGCCUAGGUCGGAUUAGCUAGUUGGUGGGGUAAAGGCCUACCAAGGCGACGAUCCGUAACUGGUCUGAGAGGAUGAUCAGUCACACUGGAACUGAGACACGGUCCAGACUCCUACGGGAGGCAGCAGUGGGGAAUAUUGGACAAUGGGCGAAAGCCUGAUCCAGCCAUGCCGCGUGUGUGAAGAAGGUCUUCGGAUUGUAAAGCACUUUAAGUUGGGAGGAAGGGCAGUAAGUUAAUACCUGGCUGUUUUGACGUUACCAACAGAAUAAGCACCGGCUAACUUCGUG
Molecule: ribosomal RNA, 484 nt
Filed under: uncultured bacterium
Lineage: Bacteria
Description: partial 16S ribosomal RNA
Rfam family: Bacterial small subunit ribosomal RNA
Source: RNAcentral